Malaclemys terrapin pileata is the source of this 553-nucleotide long non-coding RNA. RefSeq lists it as uncharacterized. The transcript has 4 exons. The record is from RefSeq and is a predicted model, not a curated record. Lineage: Eukaryota; Metazoa; Chordata; Testudines; Emydidae.
CUGUCUAUGGUAUUUUAAUUACCUGAUCCAAAUUUCAGAGGGAAGGAGAUGGAGCGGGAGACCUCUAAUUUUGCAACUGAAGUGUUCUGCCUGCAGUCAACUGUGUUCCCAAUUGGUGGGUGCCAUCAGUGGCAGAUGCAAGUGAAAGGAAAAAAUCCCUACAUUUUUCCAGAAGAUGAAACAGAGGUGAAGAAUGGCUCAGUGAUGAGAAUCUAGCCUGUGACUUUGGAUACAGUUGGGCAGAGAGGACAUAUGAUGGAGCAACCUGCUACUGGAUGAGGAAUGAAUAUUCUUGACAAAUGCAGGGUGGACACAAAGCCCAUCUCCUGGAUUAUUUUACAGAUAUGUUACCAGAGAGGUGUCUCUUUUAUACUUUGACACUGCAUGGUUUUUAUAGUUUAUCAUUCCAAAAAAAAGUGUUAUUGAUUUGUUCUCAUCUAAGUACCUUUAUGCACAGAGUUAUUGUAGGUAGGUGCACCUCCAGUGGCCAUGAGUCCUCUAUGCAGAUAUUCAUUUCAGUAAUGAUUAUGGUUGUCACCAAUUAUGCUACAGU